AACGGCCGUACCAUGCUGAAUAUACCGGUUCUCGUUAGAUCACCGAAGUUAAGUAAUCACCGAAGUACUUGGGUGGGUGACCACCUGGGAACACUGCGUGCCGUU
Molecule: non-coding RNA, 105 nt
Organism: Caerostris darwini
Lineage: Eukaryota; Metazoa; Arthropoda; Arachnida; Araneae; Araneidae
Source: the annotation of a GenBank genome assembly